UGGGGAAUAUUGCACAAUGGACGAAAGUCUGACGGAGCAACGCCGCGUGAGUGAUGACGGUCUUCGGAUUGUAAAGCUCUGUUAAUCGGGACGAAUGGUUUGUGUGCAAAUAGUGCAUAGACAUGACGGUACCGGAAUAGAAAGCCACGGCUAACUACGUGCCAGCAGCCGCGGUAAUACGUAGGUGGCAAGCGUUGUCCGGAAUUAUUGGGCGUAAAGCGCGCGCAGGCGGACUAGCCAGUCAGUCUUAAAAGUUCGGGGCUUAACCCCGUGAUGGGAUUGAAACUACUAGUCUAGAGUAUCGGAGAGGAUAGUGUAAUUCCUAGUGUAGCGGUGAAAUGCGUAGAUAUUAGGAAGAACACCAGUGGCGAAGGCGACUUUCUGGACGAACACUGACGCUGAGGAGCGAAAGCAAGGGGAGCGAACGGG
Molecule: ribosomal RNA, 429 nt
Filed under: Verrucomicrobiota bacterium
Lineage: Bacteria; Pseudomonadati; Verrucomicrobiota
Description: Verrucomicrobia bacterium partial 16S ribosomal RNA
Rfam family: Bacterial small subunit ribosomal RNA
Source: RNAcentral